Molecule: ribosomal RNA, 253 nt
Filed under: uncultured bacterium
Lineage: Bacteria
Description: partial 16S ribosomal RNA
Rfam family: Bacterial small subunit ribosomal RNA
Source: RNAcentral
GACGAACCGUGCGAACGUUGUUCGGAAUCACUGGGCUUAAAGGGCGCGUAGGCGGCUUGUCAAGUCAGGGGUGAAAUCUUUCGGCUUAACCGGAAAAGUGCCCUUGAUACUGACAGGCUCGAGGGAGGUAGGGGCAUGUGGAACUUCUGGUGGAGCGGUGAAAUGCGUUGAUAUCAGAAGGAACGCCGGUGGCGAAAGCGACGUGCUGGAUCUCUUCUGACGCUGAGGCGCGAAAGCUAGGGGAGCAAACGGG